AAACAGAGGUGGAAAUGAUUAACUCGGCUGCUCGGUAAUGUGAAACAAGAACUUUGCUCGGAUUGGACCGAAAAAUCUAUGGAGCUUAAACGGAGAAAUACGACUACCUUGCUUCGAUGGGGAUGUAAUAAGAUUGUUGUGCAUAUUCCUCAUUGGGGAUACAUAAAAGUUGAUACAAAUACUUUUUGGAAAAUAAUGAGGAGGAAGUUUGGGCAAACGCAUAUUUGAAGACAUGUUAUUGACACAUCUU
Non-coding RNA from Camellia sinensis, 250 nucleotides. The record is from RefSeq and is a predicted model, not a curated record. Lineage: Eukaryota; Viridiplantae; Streptophyta; Magnoliopsida; Ericales; Theaceae.